CACUCAGCUUGCUGAGUAUCCUUAUCUGAAUACAUAGGAUAAGCGAAGCGAACCCGGAGAACUGAACCAUCUAAGUACCCGGAGGAAAAGAAAUCAACCGAGAUUCCGUAAGUAGUGGCGAGCGAACACGGAGGAGCCUGUAUAUGAUAAUUGUUGCGAUAGAAGAACAAGCUGGGAAGCUUGGCCAUAGUGGGUGAUAGCCCCGUAUUCGAAAUUGCAAUAAUGGUACUAGGUAUACGACAAGUAGGGCGGGACACGUGAAAUCCUGUCUGAAUAUGGGGGGACCAUCCUCCAAGGCUAAAUACUCAUCAUCGACCGAUAGUGAACCAGUACCGUGAGGGAAAGGCGAAAAGAACCCCGGGAGGGGAGUGAAAUAGAACCUGAAACCUGAUGCAUACAAACAGUGGGAGCGGACUUGUUCCGUGACUGCGUACCUUUUGUAUAAUGGGUCAACGACUUACAUUCAGUAGCGAGCUUAACCGGAUAGGGGAGGCGUAGGGAAACCGAGUCUUAAUAGGGCGAUGAGUUGCUGGGUGUAGACCCGAAACCGAGUGAUCUAUCCAUGGCCAGGAUGAAGGUGCCGUAACAGGUACUGGAGGUCCGAACCCACGCAUGUUGCAAAAUGCGGGGAUGAGCUGUGGAUAGGGGUGAAAGGCUAAACAAACUCGGAGAUAGCUGGUUCUCCCCGAAAACUAUUUAGGUAGUGCCUCGAGUAAGAGACUGAUGGGGGUAAAGCACUGUUAUGGCUAGGGGGUUAUUGCAACUUACCAACCCAUGGCAAACUAAGAAUACCAUCAAGUGUUCCUCGGGAGACAGACAGCGGGUGCUAACGUCCGUUGUCAAAAGGGAAACAACCCAGACCGCCAGCUAAGGUCCCAAAUGAUAGAUUAAGUGGUAAACGAAGUGGGAAGGCCCAGACAGCCAGGAUGUUGGCUUAGAAGCAGCCAUCAUUUAAAGAAAGCGUAAUAGCUCACUGGUCGAGUCGUCCUGCGCGGAAGAUGUAACGGGGCUCAAAUCUAUAACCGAAGCUGCGGAUGCUAAUUUAUUAGCAUGGUAGGGGAGCGUUCUGUAGGCCGAUGAAGGUGACUUGAGAAGGUUGCUGGAGGUAUCAGAAGUGCGAAUGUUGACAUGAGUAGCGAUAAAGCGGGUGAAAAGCCCGCUCGCCGAAAACCCAAGGUUUCCUACGCAACGUUCAUCGGCGUAGGGUGAGUCGGCCCCUAAGGCGAGGCAGAAAUGCGUAGUCGAUGGGAAACGGGUUAAUAUUCCCGUACUUUGAUUUAGUGCGAUGUGGGGACGGAGAAGGUUAUGUCAGCGGCCUGUUGGAAUAGGUCGUUCAAGCCGGUAGGUGGAAAGUUUAGGCAAAUCCGGACUUUCAUUAACACCGAGAAGUGAUAACGAAACUCUACGGAGUUGAAGUGACAGAUACCACGCUUCCAGGAAAAGCCACUAAGCUUCAGCUAAAUCAAAACCGUACCGCAAACCGACACAGGUGGGUAGGAUGAGAAUUCUAAGGCGCUUGAGAGAACUCAGGAGAAGGAACUCGGCAAAUUGAUACCGUAACUUCGGGAGAAGGUAUGCCCUCUAAUGUGAAGCACUUGCUGCAUAAGCAUCGGAGGGUCGCAGAGAAUAGGUGGCUGCGACUGUUUAUUAAAAACACAGCACUCUGCUAACACGAAAGUGGACGUAUAGGGUGUGACGCCUGCCCGGUGCUGGAAGGUUAAUUGAAGAUGUGCAAGCAUCGGAUCGAAGCCCCAGUAAACGGCGGCCGUAACUAUAACGGUCCUAAGGUAGCGAAAUUCCUUGUCGGGUAAGUUCCGACCCGCACGAAUGGCGUAACGAUGGCCACACUGUCUCCUCCUGAGACUCAGCGAAGUUGAAAUGGUUGUGAAGAUGCAAUCUCCCCGCUGCUAGACGGAAAGACCCCGUGAACCUUUACUGUAGCUUUGCAUUGGACUUUGAAGGCACUUGUGUAGGAUAGGUGGGAGGCUUUGAAGCAGAGACGCCAGUUUCUGUGGAGCCGUCCUUGAAAUACCACCCUGG
RNAcentral lists this ribosomal RNA (2040 nucleotides) under Neisseria arctica. RNAcentral describes it as "bacterial LSU rRNA". It matches the Rfam family "Bacterial large subunit ribosomal RNA", at positions 129 to 2208 of the family's 2925-position model. The record is from RNAcentral. Lineage: Bacteria; Pseudomonadati; Pseudomonadota; Betaproteobacteria; Neisseriales; Neisseriaceae.